This 2556-nucleotide long non-coding RNA is filed under the name Oryza sativa Indica Group (long-grained rice). RNAcentral's name for it is "lncRNA OsMH63_08G000380". Lineage: Eukaryota; Viridiplantae; Streptophyta; Magnoliopsida; Poales; Poaceae. The record is from RNAcentral.
UGCGACAUUAGUCGAUUCCGGAAGAAGUCGAUUCCGACGACGGAGCAGAAGAAGUCGAUUCCGGCGGACGGAGCAGAAGAAGUCUGCGGCACCUUGCGAAUCAUCUUUGGCAUAAGAAGUAACUAUAUGCAGUACUACUCAUUUGCAGAUAACAUGGCACCUAGCAAUUUGAUUACUGCAUUAACACCAAAGAACGAUAGGUGGAGAAUCAAAGUAAAAGUUAUUAGGCUAUGGGAUGCGGUUAAUCCUACAAUGGUUGAUGAGUUCUAUGGUAUACAGAUGAUUGUACUAGAUGCAGAGGGCAACUCAAUACAUGUCUCUAUCUCAAAGCAAUUGGCGAACCACUUCAGGCCAAAAAUUAAGAUUAACUCAAUAUAUACUUUUAAAAAUUUCAAAGUUAUGGAACAUGAUAAAUACCGUGUCCUAAAAAACAAUCUGAAAAUCCUUUUUUAUCAUGAUACCAUAGUAAAAGAGACCUGUUUGUAUUUAGAUGUGAUUGGCUUACUUAGCGGGAUGAAGCCGAUCGAGCAAAGAAUGCUAGGAAAAAACACAAGCAGGGAGAGGGUUUGCAACAUGCGUGAAAUUGAACUCCUUUUAUUAGAGGGAGAAAAAGUUAAAAUUACUCUAUGGGGAGAUAUUUUAGCAAAUAUGGUUGACGACGAUUUGCUUGGGAAGCAAACUGUGUUCAUCGCCACUGGACUUCUGGUUAAAGAAUAUGAAAAAUUAUUAUCAUUUGGAGUAACAAGUUCAACAGAAGUUUUUUUGGAUAUGGAAAUUCCUGCAAGCAUGGAAAUAUUGAGCAGGCAUAAUGCUGAAAAGGUUUUGCCCACAAUGAUUGAAGUGGACGCAAGCACUCAAGGAACCAUUGAAGAGCAAAUGUUCUACAAUAGAAAGACAUUGAAAGAAAUAACAGAAUUGCGAUAUAGUAAUAUACAACAGAAGGAAUUUAUAUGCACAGUCAAAGCUAAAAUUGAGGAGAUUAAAUCAAGAAAUUGGUGGUAUAUGUCUUGCGAUAAGUGCUUUUGUGGAACAAGAAAGGAAUCAAAUGUAUACAUUUGCAAUUCAUGCGGAAAGGAAGCAGUGAACCCAAAACCACGGUAUGUAAUAAACCUUGAGAUAAGUGACCACACUACUAGGACGACAUGUACAAUAUUUAAUGAGGAAGCAGAAAGAAUAUUUGGUCAUAAGUCUGUGUCCACCAUGCUGGAGGAACAAAAUGGACAAAUUGAUAUGAUUCCUGAUACAAUACGUCAGAUAUGUGGAAGAAUAUUGAUAUUCAGAUUGAAGUUGACUAAAAGGAAUUUAGAAGAGUGUAAGGAAGACUACAAAGUGAACUACACUUUUACACCUAAUGAAAAGCUUGAGAUGAAUUAUGUAAAUGACAAGGCAGAAGAGUUUGGGCAGCACAAUUUUCAGGUAAAAGAAGAGCCAAAAAAUGAAAGUAGUGAUGAUUAUGAAAUGAACAAUCAUCGCAAAACAAAGAAAGAGAGAUCAAACAUGAGAUCUACAAAAAGAUCAAACAAGGAACCAUACAUUACCGAUUCUGAUGGGAAAACAAAUGAAAAGGCAAUCACAAUCGAUGAUGAUUCCGAAGAAUCACUUGAUGAUUAUUUUGAUGAAGAAUACAAUAAAAAGGUUACCCAGGAGAGUACGAAGACAAAUCCUUCUAAAAGAAGAGUUACAAGACGCUUUAAAAUAGCUAACAAGUCAAUGUUGAAGUGCAAUGAUGAUUAUGGCUUCACUGAUUUGCAAAAAUCAGAAGAUGAGUUUGGGCAGCACAAUUUUCAGGUAAAAGAAGAGCCAAAAAAUGAAAGUAGUGAUGAUUAUGAAAUGAACAAUCAUCGCAAAACAAAGAAAGAGAGAUCAAACAUGAGAUGUACAAAAAGAUCAAACAAGGAACCAUACAUUACCGAUUUUGAUGGGAAAACAAAUGAAAAGGCAAUUACAAUCGAUGAUGAUUGUGAAGAAUCACUUGAUGAUUAUUUUGAUGAAGAAUACAAUGAAAAGGUUACACAGGAGAGUACAAAGACGAAUCCUUCUAAAAGAAGAGUUACAAGACGUUUUAAAACAUCUAACAAGGCUAAGAAAGGAAAAUGUUCUGAAAUGAAAACUCAGAGAAAUAAGGAACCAUAUACUACUGAUUGUGAGAAGAUAGCAAAUGACAAACCAAUUUCGCUUGAUGAUGAUUUUGAUGAAGAAUAUAAUAAAAAUAUGGUAAGGGGAAAAGGUUGUGGAAAGAAGAGUACAAAUAUGGGAACUUGCACAAAAAGUGCAAUUGAAAAUACAAUUCAAGAUGAUGAAGUGCAUGACGGAAAAAUUGCUUCAGGAACUGCUAAAAGACCAUCAAGGAAAUUUAUAAUUUCAGAUAGUGAGGAUGAGCACAGCAGUAAUACAAAGGUGACUGGGGACAGCACCAGCUGUAAUAGUAGUAAGGAAGAUAUAAACAAAGGUCGAUGCAAUUAUAAUAUUGAGAACAUUAAAGUUCACAUGAAUGAGCAGUCCAGUCGAUGCAGAUCAACAAGGAUUAGAAGACCACCCACCCGAUACUCAUAUUAG